GUGGGGAAUAUUGGACAAUGGGCGCAAGCCUGAUCCAGCCAUGCCGCGUGAGUGAUGAAGGCCUUAGGGUUGUAAAGCUCUUUCAGUAGGGAAGAUAAUGACGGUACCUACAGAAGAAGCCCCGGCUAACUUCGUGCCAGCAGCCGCGGUAAUACGAAGGGGGCUAGCGUUGUUCGGAUUUACUGGGCGUAAAGCGCACGUAGGCGGAUUGGUCAGUUAGAGGUGAAAUCCCGAAGCUCAACUUCGGAACUGCCUUUAAUACUGCCAGUCUCGAGUCCGGAAGAGGUGAGUGGAACUCCUAGUGUAGAGGUGGAAUUCGUAGAUAUUAGGAAGAACACCAGUGGCGAAGGCGGCUCACUGGUCCGGUACUGACGCUGAGGUGCGAAAGCGUGGGGAGCAAACAGGAUUAGAUACCCCAGUAGUCC
Molecule: ribosomal RNA, 425 nt
Filed under: uncultured bacterium
Lineage: Bacteria
Description: bacterial SSU rRNA
Rfam family: Bacterial small subunit ribosomal RNA
Source: RNAcentral